This 496-nucleotide ribosomal RNA is filed under the name uncultured bacterium. RNAcentral's name for it is "bacterial SSU rRNA". It matches the Rfam family "Bacterial small subunit ribosomal RNA", at positions 29 to 518 of the family's 1533-position model. The record is from RNAcentral.
AUGAACGCUAGCGACAGGCCUAACACAUGCAAGUCGAGGGGCAGCACAAGGAGCAAUCUGAGGUGGCGACCGGCGCACGGGUGAGUAACACGUAUGCAACCUGCCUGUAAGCGGGGAAUAACCCGUUGAAAGACGGACUAAUACCGCAUAAUACUAAAUUACUGCAUGGUAAUUUAUUUAAACAUUUAUGGCUUACAGAUGGGCAUGCGCAUGAUUAGCUAGUUGGAGAGGUAGCGGCUCCCCAAGGCAACGAUCAUUAGGGGUUCUGAGAGGAAGGUCCCCCACACUGGUACUGAGACACGGACCAGACUCCUACGGGAGGCAGCAGUGAGGAAUAUUGGUCAAUGGACGAGAGUCUGAACCAGCCAAGUCGCGUGCAGGAAGAAUGUCCCCCAUGGAUUGUAAACUGCUUUUGCAGGGGAAUAAAGUGCAUCACGUGUGAUGUUUUGUAUGUACUCUGCGAAUAAGGAUCGGCUAACUCCGUGCCAGCCGCGGC